Molecule: ribosomal RNA, 440 nt
Filed under: uncultured bacterium
Lineage: Bacteria
Description: partial 16S ribosomal RNA
Rfam family: Bacterial small subunit ribosomal RNA
Source: RNAcentral
CCUACGGGUGGCAGCAGUGGGGGAUAUUGGUCAAUGGGCGAAACCCUGAAGCAGCAACGCCGCGUGGAGGAUGAAGGUUUUCGGAUUGUAAACUCCUUUUGUUAGAGAAGAUAAUGACGGUAUCUAACGAAUAAGCACCGGCUAACUCCGUGCCAGCAGCCGCGGUAAUACGGCGGGUGCAAGCGUUACUCGGAAUCACUGGGCGUAAAGAGCGCGUAGGCGGGAUAGCAAGUCAGAUGUGAAAUCCUAUGGCUUAACCAUAGAACUGCAUUUGAAACUGUUAGUCUAGAGUAUGGGAGAGGUAGGUGGAAUUCGUGGUGUAGGGGUAAAAUGCGUAGAGAUCAAGAGGAAUACUCAUUGCGAAGGCGACCUGCUAGAACAUAACUGACGCUGAUGCGCGAAAGCGUGGGGAGCAAACAGGAUUAGAUACCCUGGUAGUC